RNAcentral lists this ribosomal RNA (407 nucleotides) under uncultured bacterium. Its description in RNAcentral is "partial 16S ribosomal RNA". It matches the Rfam family "Bacterial small subunit ribosomal RNA", at positions 30 to 526 of the family's 1533-position model. The record is from RNAcentral.
AUUGAACGCUGGCGGCAGGCCUAACACAUGCAAGUCGAGCGGAACGGCGAACGGGUGAGUAAUGCCUAGGAAUCUGCCGGGUGGUGGGGGAUAAUGUCAGGUAACGGGCGCUAACACAGCAUACUAUCAAACGCGGCUAGGCCGGAUUAGGUAGUUGGUGGGGUAAAGGCUUACCAAGGCGACGAACCGUAACUGGUCUGAGAGGAUGAUCAGUCACACUGGAACUGAGACACGGUCCAGACUCUUACGGGAGGCAGCAGUGGGGAAUAUUGGACAAUGGGCGAAAGUCUGCGGCAGCCAUGCCGCGUGUGGGAAGAAGGUAUUCGGUUUGUAAAGCACUUUUAGUUGGGAGGCGUUAGCAUCAGAAGAAGCCCCGGCUAACGUCGUGCCAGCAGCCGCGGUAAUUC